This 250-nucleotide ribosomal RNA is filed under the name uncultured bacterium. Its description in RNAcentral is "partial 16S ribosomal RNA". It matches the Rfam family "Bacterial small subunit ribosomal RNA", at positions 524 to 773 of the family's 1533-position model. The record is from RNAcentral.
UACGGAGGAUCCAAGCGUUAUCCGGAAUCAUUGGGUUUAAAGGGUCCGUAGGCGGUUUUGUAAGUCAGUGGUGAAAUCCGGCAGCUCAACUGUCGCACUGCCAUUGAUACUGCAGGACUUGAAUUAUUGUGAAGUAACUAGAAUAUGUAGUGUAGCGGUGAAAUGCUUAGAUAUUACAUGGAAUACCCAUUGCGAAGGCAGGUUACUAACAAUACAUUGACGCUGAUGGACGAAAGCGUGGGGAGCGAAC